CUUUCUGUUUCUAUAGAUUGGUCUGUUCUGGACAUUUCAUAUAAAUGGAACCAUACAGUAUGUGCUCGUGACUAGCUUCUUUCACCUGGCAUAAUGUUUCCAAGGUUUAUCCAUGCCAUGUUGUAGCGUGGACUUUCUUCCCGGUUUACCUGCAUCUGUGAUGUGGCCAUGCAUACUGGUGCUUCCCACCUGUGAACUCAGGUCUGUGGUUCUCUGGGUUUUUCUGGUAUCAUGGGAGCUUGCUCAGCUU
RNAcentral lists this long non-coding RNA (250 nucleotides) under Mustela putorius furo (domestic ferret). RNAcentral's name for it is "lncRNA (ENSMPUG00000029934.1)". The record is from RNAcentral. Lineage: Eukaryota; Metazoa; Chordata; Mammalia; Carnivora; Mustelidae.